Molecule: ribosomal RNA, 396 nt
Filed under: Herbaspirillum sp. TU30
Lineage: Bacteria; Pseudomonadati; Pseudomonadota; Betaproteobacteria; Burkholderiales; Oxalobacteraceae
Description: bacterial SSU rRNA
Rfam family: Bacterial small subunit ribosomal RNA
Source: RNAcentral
AACGCGAAGAACCUUACCUACCCUUGACAUGGAUAGAAUCCCGAAGAGAUUUGGGAGUGCUCGAAAGAGAACCAUCACACAGGUGCUGCAUGGCUGUCGUCAGCUCGUGUCGUGAGAUGUUGGGUUAAGUCCCGCAACGAGCGCAACCCUUGUCAUUAGUUGCUACGAAAGGGCACUCUAAUGAGACUGCCGGUGACAAACCGGAGGAAGGUGGGGAUGACGUCAAGUCCUCAUGGCCCUUAUGGGUAGGGCUUCACACGUCAUACAAUGGUACAUCAGAGGGCCCCCAACCCGCGAGGGGGAGCUAAUCCCCGAACGGUUCUAGUCCGGAUUGGAGUCUGCAACUCGACUCCAUGAAGUUGGAAUCGCUAGUAAUCGCGGAUCAGACAGUUGCGG